UGGGGAAUAUUGCACAAUGGGCGCAAGCCUGAUGCAGCCAUGCCGCGUGUGUGAAGAAGGCCUUCGGGUUGUAAAGCACUUUCAGCGAGGAGGAAGGUGGUGAGCUUAAUACGCUCAUCAAUUGACGUUACUCGCAGAAGAAGCACCGGCUAACUCCGUGCCAGCAGCCGCGGUAAUACGGAGGGUGCAAGCGUUAAUCGGAAUUACUGGGCGUAAAGCGCACGCAGGCGGUUCGUUAAGUCAGAUGUGAAAUCCCCGGGCUCAACCUGGGAACUGCAUUUGAAACUGGCAAGCUAGAGUCUCGUAGAGGGGGGUAGAAUUCCAGGUGUAGCGGUGAAAUGCGUAGAGAUCUGGAGGAAUACCGGUGGCGAAGGCGGCCCCCCUGGACGAAGACUGACGCUCAGGUGCGAAAGCGUGGGGCAGCAAACAGGAUUAGAUACCCUGGUAGUCCAGCGCUGUAAACGAUGUCGAUUUGGAGGUUGUGCCCCUUGAGGCGUGGCUUCCGGAGCUAACGCGUUAAA
Molecule: ribosomal RNA, 521 nt
Filed under: uncultured bacterium
Lineage: Bacteria
Description: partial 16S ribosomal RNA
Rfam family: Bacterial small subunit ribosomal RNA
Source: RNAcentral